RNAcentral lists this ribosomal RNA (62 nucleotides) under Mentha x dalmatica. Lineage: Eukaryota; Viridiplantae; Streptophyta; Magnoliopsida; Lamiales; Lamiaceae. The record is from RNAcentral.
GUGCUUGGGCGAGAGUAGUACUAGGUUGGGUGACCCCCUGGGAAGUCCUCGUGUUGCACCCC